Non-coding RNA from Sebastes umbrosus (honeycomb rockfish), 680 nucleotides. The record is from the annotation of a RefSeq genome assembly. Lineage: Eukaryota; Metazoa; Chordata; Actinopteri; Perciformes; Sebastidae.
UGUAGCUCUUCAUCUCUCUGUUGUAACGUCACACAGACUGACAGCGACUCUGGUCUCAUUUAGCUCAGAACACAAUAAUGAUCACAGCUGGUCUGAUCAAACUCUCUGCAGCUCUGCUCUGGAUUGUAGGUUUAACUGAAGGGAGUGAUGUCACCCAGACCCCUCUGGUGUGGAGGACCGAGGGUCAGUCGGCCACGAUGAACUGCAGUCACACUAAAGACAUCUCACAUAGUCAGAUGUACUGGUACAGACAGCUACCAGGGGAGGGAAUGAAGCAAAUAGUUUACACGACUACAUCUCCCCCACAUCAAUACGAGAGCGGCUUCACUGAGGACAGAUAUCCAGCAAAGAAGAGCGACGCUCAGACUGGAUCUUUGACAGUGGAGAGGCUGCUGCCUGAGGACAGUGGAGUGUAUUUCUGUGCUGUUCCUCUCUCAGUGACCAGGUCUACCAGACUCCACCUGAUAUGUACAACAAGCAAGAAGAAACAGCCACAAUCAAAUGCUCACACAGUAUUGACAACUAUGAUCGAAUCUUCUGGUACAAGCAAACGAAGGACGGUCAACUACAGUUCCUGGGAUACAUGUUAACCACAUCAGGAGCCACAGAGACUGGACUGGAUGUGAAGAUAGAAGGAAGUGCAGCUAAAGACCAGACCUGCACAUUAACAAUUGAAAGAC